GUAACGGCUGUGAAAAAGAGGAGUAGCUUGCUUAUUCUUUCAGAGAGUGCUCGUUUGGUGGAAGAGUGCAGAUGCGGUAGGUGAAGGUAGCUUUUGAGCCGGCAAGGUGAAACUAAGUAGUCUUGUCCGUAUAUCUGCGUUAAGGAUUUGAGUGGCAUUAUGUUUAAUUAAUGCAAUUUGAGUGGUACCACGGAAUUUUUCGCUUUCGUCUCAAUU
RNAcentral lists this non-coding RNA (216 nucleotides) under Eubacterium sp. RNAcentral's name for it is "T-box sequence". It matches the Rfam family "T-box leader". From Rfam's summary of the family: Uncharged tRNA acts as the effector for transcription antitermination of genes in the T-box leader family. T-boxes are found upstream of many aminoacyl-tRNA synthetase genes and some amino acid biosynthetic genes usually in Gram-positive bacteria. The record is from RNAcentral. Lineage: Bacteria; Bacillati; Bacillota; Clostridia; Eubacteriales; Eubacteriaceae.